GUGCCAGCCGCCGCGGUAAUACGUAGGUGGCGAGCGUUGUUCGGAUUUAUUGGGCGUAAAGGGUCUGUAGGAGGUUUGUUAAAUACGGGGUGAAAUCCCGAAGCUCAACUUCGGAAUUGCCUUGUAGACUGACGAACUGGAGUACCGGAGAGGUAAGCGGAAUACCAGGUGUAGCGGUGGAAUGCGUAGAUAUCUGGUAGAACACCAAAAGCGAAGGCAGCUUGCUGGACGGAAACUGACUCUGAAAGACGAAAGCAUGGGGAGCAAACAGG
Molecule: ribosomal RNA, 272 nt
Filed under: uncultured bacterium
Lineage: Bacteria
Description: partial 16S ribosomal RNA
Rfam family: Bacterial small subunit ribosomal RNA
Source: RNAcentral